This 343-nucleotide ribosomal RNA is filed under the name uncultured eukaryote. Its description in RNAcentral is "SSU rRNA". It matches the Rfam family "Eukaryotic small subunit ribosomal RNA", at positions 595 to 945 of the family's 1831-position model. The record is from RNAcentral.
AAAUGCAUAGAACCAUUGCUGCGGUUAAAAAGCUCGUAGUUGGAUCUGUGCGGGCGACGUGGUCCACCCGAAAGGGCGGCACUGCGCUCGUCGGCUUUGGGCCGGUCUUCGUGCGGUCGCCUUCAUCGGUGGCCGUGCGUGGCUGGCUGGUUUACUUUGAGCAAAUCAGAGUGCUCAGCACAGGCGUUUCGCCGGCAUGUUCGUGCAUGGAAUAAUAGAAAAGGAUUUCGGUCCUCUUUUAUUGGUUUUGUGGACUGAGAUAAUGGUUAACAGAGACGAACGGGGGCAUUCGUAUUGCUGCGUGAGAGGUGAAAUUCUUGGACCGCAGCAGGACGGACUACAG